This 1249-nucleotide ribosomal RNA is filed under the name metagenome. RNAcentral describes it as "bacterial SSU rRNA". It matches the Rfam family "Bacterial small subunit ribosomal RNA", at positions 239 to 1498 of the family's 1533-position model. The record is from RNAcentral.
GAUUAGCUUGUUGGCGGGGUAACGGCCCACCAAGGCAACGAUCAGUAGGGGUUCUGAGAGGAAGGUCCCCCUCAUUGGAACUGAGACACGGUCCAAACUCCUACGGGAGGCAGCAGUGAGGAAUAUUGGUCAAUGGGCGAGAGCCUGAACCAGCCAAGUAGCGUGCAGGAAGACGGCCCUAUGGGUUGUAAACUGCUUUUAUAAGGGAAUAAAGUGAGUCUCGUGAGACUUUUUGCAUGUACCUUAUGAAUAAGGACCGGCUAAUUCCGUGCCAGCAGCCGCGGUAAUACGGAAGGUCCGGGCGUUAUCCGGAUUUAUUGGGUUUAAAGGGAGCGUAGGCCGGAGAUUAAGCGUGUUGUGAAAUGUAGACGCUCAACGUCUGCACUGCAGCGCGAACUGGUUUCCUUGAGUACGCACAAAGUGGGCGGAAUUCGUGGUGUAGCGGUGAAAUGCUUAGAUAUCACGAAGAACUCCGAUUGCGAAGGCAGCUCACUGGAGCGCAACUGACGCUGAAGCUCGAAAGUGCGGGUAUCGAACAGGAUUAGAUACCCUGGUAGUCCGCACGGUAAACGAUGGAUGCCCGCUGUUGGUCUGAACAGGUCAGCGGCCAAGCGAAAGCAUUAAGCAUCCCACCUGGGGAGUACGCCGGCAACGGUGAAACUCAAAGGAAUUGACGGGGGCCCGCACAAGCGGAGGAACAUGUGGUUUAAUUCGAUGAUACGCGAGGAACCUUACCCGGGCUUGAAUUGCAGAGGAAGGAUUUGGAGACAAUGACGCCCUUCGGGGUCUCUGUGAAGGUGCUGCAUGGUUGUCGUCAGCUCGUGCCGUGAGGUGUCGGCUUAAGUGCCAUAACGAGCGCAACCCCUCUCCUUAGUUGCCAUCAGGUUAAGCUGGGCACUCUGGGGACACUGCCACCGUAAGGUGUGAGGAAGGUGGGGAUGACGUCAAAUCAGCACGGCCCUUACGUCCGGGGCUACACACGUGUUACAAUGGCAGGUACAGAGAGACGGUUGUACGUAAGUACGAUCAAAUCCUUAAAGCCUGUCUCAGUUCGGACUGGGGUCUGCAACCCGACCCCACGAAGCUGGAUUCGCUAGUAAUCGCGCAUCAGCCAUGGCGCGGUGAAUACGUUCCCGGGCCUUGUACACACCGCCCGUCAAGCCAUGAAAGCCGGGGGCGCCUAAAGUCCGUGACCGUAAGGAGCGGCCUAGGGCGAAACUGGUAAUUGGGGCUAAGUCGAAACAAGGUA